Molecule: long non-coding RNA, 428 nt
Organism: Anas platyrhynchos (mallard)
Lineage: Eukaryota; Metazoa; Chordata; Aves; Anseriformes; Anatidae
Source: RefSeq, a predicted model, not a curated record
ACUGUUAAAUGGGAAUGAGGCAUGCUCCCUGUUCAUCUAGGGUGAAUAAAUACCAUGCCAUUACAGCAGGGAUUUUCUAGCACUCUGCUCUCUAGGAUAUUCUUGUCCAAACAAGAUGAUCUCUAUUCAUAGUACAGCUCUAAGCUGGAACUAUCUGUGAUGUAUCUCUAACCUGUAUGGGAAAUCAGCCCGUAACUUCAGCUGCUUGCGACCAAGGAGUCAGCAUGUCUUUGGCCAUAUUAUACCUGGAUGAAGCCAGUGAGACCCCAGGAACAGGGAGAUAGAGCCCUGAAAUCUGCCUUGCUCCAGAAAGCUGAGAGCUCUACAGGCUAUGACCACCACAUCUAACCCUUGGUGAAAUGAGUGUUAAGUCCGCUGAAGAGUAACAGAAAUGGAAAUAAACAGAGGGGGAAAAAAAAGAAAAAAAA